This 694-nucleotide ribosomal RNA is filed under the name uncultured bacterium. RNAcentral's name for it is "bacterial SSU rRNA". It matches the Rfam family "Bacterial small subunit ribosomal RNA", at positions 32 to 715 of the family's 1533-position model. The record is from RNAcentral.
AACGCUAGCUACAGGCUUAACACAUGCAAGUCGAGGGGUAACGAGAGGAAAGCUUGCUUUCCUUGUCGACGACCGGCGCACGGGUGAGUAACGCGUAUCCAACCUGCCCCCAACUAGGGAAUAACCUUGCGAAAGUAAGACUAAUACCCUAUAAUUUCCUCAGAUGUCAUCUGACGAGGAAUAAAGAUUUAUCGGUUGUGGAUGGGGAUGCGUCUGAUUAGCCUGUUGGCGGGGUAACGGCCCACCAAGGCAACGAUCAGUAGGGGUUCUGAGAGGAAGGUCCCCCACAUUGGAACUGAGACACGGUCCAAACUCCUACGGGAGGCAGCAGUGAGGAAUAUUGGUCAAUGGGCGGAAGCCUGAACCAGCCAAGUAGCGUGCAGGAUGACGGCCCUAUGGGUUGUAAACUGCUUUUAUACAGGAAUAAAGUUAGCCACGUGUGGUUAUUUGUAGGUACUGUAUGAAUAAGGACCGGCUAAUUCCGUGCCAGCAGCCGCGGUAAUACGGAAGGUCCAGGCGUUAUCCGGAUUUAUUGGGUUUAAAGGGAGCGUAGGCCGUCUGUUAAGCGUGUUGUGAAAUGUAGAUGCUCAACAUCUGAAUUGCAGCGCGAACUGGCAGACUUGAGUGUGCGCAACGUAGGCGGAAUUCGUGGUGUAGCGGUGAAAUGCUUAGAUAUCACGAAGAACUCCGAUUG